UGGCUCAGGACGAACGCUGGCGGCGUGCCUAACACAUGCAAGUCGAGCGAUGAAAUCCUUCGGGAUGGAUUAGCGGCGGACGGGUGAGUAACACGUGGGUAACCUGCCUUGUAGAGGGGGAUAGCCUUCCGAAAGGAAGAUUAAUACCGCAUAACAUCUUUUUAUCGCAUGGUAGAAAGAUCAAAGGAGUAAUCCGCUACAAGAUGGACCCGCGGCGCAUUAGCUAGUUGGUGAGGUAACGGCUCACCAAGGCGACGAUGCGUAGCCGACCUGAGAGGGUGAUCGGCCACAUUGGAACUGAGACACGGUCCAGACUCCUACGGGAGGCAGCAGUGGGGAAUAUUGCGCAAUGGGGGAAACCCUGACGCAGCAACGCCGCGUGAAUGAAGAAGGCCUUAGGGUUGUAAAGUUCUGUUUACGGGGACGAUAAUGACGGUACCCGUGGAGGAAGCCACGGCUAACUACGUGCCAGCAGCAGC
This 479-nucleotide ribosomal RNA is filed under the name uncultured bacterium. RNAcentral's name for it is "bacterial SSU rRNA". It matches the Rfam family "Bacterial small subunit ribosomal RNA", at positions 20 to 518 of the family's 1533-position model. The record is from RNAcentral.